UGUGAAGUUACUUAAACAACCAGGAGGUUGGCUUAGAAGCAGCCAUCCUUUAAAGAAAGCGUAAUAGCUCACUGGUCUAGUGAUUUUGCGCGGAAAAUAUAACGGGGCUAAAGUAAGUACCGAAGCUGUAGACUUGCGCACAACUUAGAUUAUUUAAGUUUAGAAUAUGAGAAACUAAGUUAUAUGUUUAGUUAUAUUUUUACUGAUUUUUAUAGAGUAAAGAUAGAAAUAAAACUUAGUAAAAUCAGUAAAAAUAUUCUUAGACUAAAGUUAAGUAGUUUAAGUUGUGUGCAAGUGGUAGGAGAGCGUUCUAUUUGCGUCGAAGGUAUACCGGUAAGGAGUGCUGGAGCGAAUAGAAGUGAGCAUGCAGGCAUGAGUAGCGAUAAUUAAUGUGAGAAUCAUUAACGCCGUAAACCCAAGGUUUCCUACGCGAUGCUCGUCAUCGUAGGGUUAGUCGGGUCCUAAGUCGAGUCCGAAAGGGGUAGACGAUGGCAAAUUGGUUAAUAUUCCAAUACCAACAUUAGUGUGCGAUGGAAGGACGCUUAGGGCUAAGGGGGCUAGCGGAUGGAAGUGCUAGUCUAAGGUCGUAGGAGGUUAUACAGGCAAAUCCGUAUAACAAUACUCCGAGAACUGAAAGGCUUUUUGAAGUCUUCGGAUGGAUAGAAGAACCCCUGAUGCCAUCGAGCCAAGAAAAGUUUCUAAGUUUAGCUAAUGUUGCCCGUACCGUAAACCGACACAGGUGGGUGGGAUGAGUAUUCUAAGGCGCGUGGAAGAACUCUCUUUAAGGAACUCUGCAAAAUAGCACCGUAUCUUC
RNAcentral lists this ribosomal RNA (814 nucleotides) under Campylobacter coli. RNAcentral describes it as "partial 23S ribosomal RNA". It matches the Rfam family "Bacterial large subunit ribosomal RNA", at positions 1074 to 1737 of the family's 2925-position model. Lineage: Bacteria; Pseudomonadati; Campylobacterota; Epsilonproteobacteria; Campylobacterales; Campylobacteraceae. The record is from RNAcentral.